CAGUAGCCGCGGUAAUACGUAGGGUGCGAGCGUUAAUCGGAAUUACUGGGCGUAAAGCGUGCGCAGGCGGUUCGUUAAGACAGAUGUGAAAUCCCCGGGCUUAACCUGGGAACUGCAUUUGUGACUGGCGAGCUAGAGUAUGGCAGAGGGGGGUAGAAUUCCACGUGUAGCAGUGAAAUGCGUAGAGAUGUGGAGGAAUACCGAUGGCGAAGGCAGCCCCCUGGGCCAAUACUGACGCUCAUGCACGAAAACGUGGGGAGCAAACAGGAUUAGAUACCCCGGUAGUCCCUGUCUCUUAUAC
This 301-nucleotide ribosomal RNA is filed under the name uncultured bacterium. RNAcentral's name for it is "partial 16S ribosomal RNA". It matches the Rfam family "Bacterial small subunit ribosomal RNA", at positions 509 to 807 of the family's 1533-position model. The record is from RNAcentral.